GAUGAGAACGUAGCGAAAUGCGAUAAGUAAUGUGAAUUGCAGAAUCCAGUGAAUCAUCGAAUCUUUGAACGCACAUUGCGCCCGCCAGCAUUCUGGCGGGCAUGCCUGUUCGAGCGUCAUUUCAACCCUCGACCUCCCUUUGGGGAAGUCGGCGUUGGGGACCGGCAGCACACCGCCGGCCCUGAAAUGGAGUGGCGGCCCGUCCGCGGCGACCUCUGCGUAGUAAACCAACUCGCACCGGAACCCCGACGUGGCCACGCCGUAAAACACCCAACUUCUGAACGUUGACCUCGAAUCAGGUAGGACUACCCGCUGAACUUAAGCAUAUCAAUAAGCGGAGGA
RNAcentral lists this unclassified non-coding RNA (342 nucleotides) under soil metagenome. RNAcentral describes it as "partial contains 5.8S ribosomal RNA, internal transcribed spacer 2, and large subunit ribosomal RNA". The stretch from base 5 to 119 matches the Rfam family "5.8S ribosomal RNA", at positions 40 to 154 of the family's 154-position model. The record is from RNAcentral.